This 403-nucleotide ribosomal RNA is filed under the name Actinomycetes bacterium. RNAcentral's name for it is "Actinobacteria bacterium partial 16S ribosomal RNA". It matches the Rfam family "Bacterial small subunit ribosomal RNA", at positions 355 to 776 of the family's 1533-position model. The record is from RNAcentral. Lineage: Bacteria; Bacillati; Actinomycetota; Actinomycetes.
UGGGGAAUAUUGCACAAUGGGGGAAACCCUGAUGCAGCGACGCCGCGUGAACGAAGAAGGUAUUCGUAUCGUAAAGUUCUGUCCUAUGGGAAGAUAAUGACAGUACCAUAGAAGGAAGCUCCGGCUAAAUACGUUCCAGCAGCCGCGGUAAUACGUAUGGAGCGAGCGUUGUCCGGAAUUAUUGGGCGUAAAGGGUACGCAGGCGGUUUAAUAAGUCGAAUGUUAAAGAUCGGGGCUCAACCCCGUAAAGCAUUGGAAACUGAUAAACUUGAGUAGUGGAGAGGAAAGUGGAAUUCCUAGUGUAGUGGUGAAAUACGUAGAUAUUAGGAGGAAUACCAGUAGCGAAGGCGACUUUCUGGACACAAACUGACGCUGAGGUACGAAAGCGUGGGGAGCAAACAGG